This is a long non-coding RNA of Oreochromis niloticus (Nile tilapia), 272 nucleotides long. RefSeq lists it as uncharacterized. The transcript has 3 exons. The record is from RefSeq and is a predicted model, not a curated record. NCBI's taxonomy places the organism in Eukaryota, Metazoa, Chordata, Actinopteri, Cichliformes, Cichlidae.
GUUCUACUGGUGUUACUGGUUCUGCUGGUGAGACGAUGUGUUCACAGGAAACCUGAAGCAGAUCAAGAAGAAACUGGAAAAGAUGACAUCAUCACUCAUGUCGUGUACAACAUUGUGAAGCUAUCACAUCAUCCACAGCCAAUCAGACCAAGCAGAGAGCGUGAACCAGCUGAAGACGUCAGUUGUGGACAAACAAGAAGGCCCAGGUACAGCUGCUCUUUAUCUUUGACUGUGGACAGAGACAAGCUAGCUGCUCACCCUGUUUACAGCUA